Molecule: ribosomal RNA, 406 nt
Filed under: uncultured bacterium
Lineage: Bacteria
Description: partial 16S ribosomal RNA
Rfam family: Bacterial small subunit ribosomal RNA
Source: RNAcentral
AUUGAACGCUGGCGGCAGGCCUAACACAUGCAAGUCGAACGAGUGGCGGACGGGUGAGUAAUGUCUGGGAAACUGCCUGAUGGAGGGGGAUAACUACUGGAAACGGUAGCUAAUACCGCAUACCAUCGGAUGUGCCCAGAUGGGAUUAGCUAGUAGGUGGGGUAACGGCUCACCUAGGCGACGAUCCCUAGCUGGUCUGAGAGGAUGACCAGCCACACUGGAACUGAUAGACGUUCCAGUUUCCUACGUGAGGAGGCAGUGGGGAAGAUUGCACAAUGUGCGCAAGCCUGAUGCAGCCAGGCCGCGUGUAUGAAGAAGGCCUUCGGGUUGUAAAGUACUUUCAGCGGAGAGGCGUUACCCGCAGAUGAAGCACCGGCUAACACCGUGCCAGCAGCCGCGGUAAUAC